GGUUAAGUGAAUAAGGGCGCACGGUGGAUGCCUUGGCACUAGGAGCCGAUGAAGGACGGGACUAACACCGAUAUGCUUUGGGGAGCUGUACGUAAGCUAUGAUCCAGAGAUUUCCGAAUGGGGGAACCCAACAUCUUUAAUAGGAUGUUACGAUUGUGUGAAUACAUAGCACAUUCGAGGUAGACGCAGAGAACUGAAACAUCUAAGUACCUGCAGGAAGAGAAAGAAAAUUCGAUUCCCUGAGUAGCGGCGAGCGAAACGGGAAAAGCCCAAACCAGCAAGCUUGCUUGUUGGGGUUGUAGGACUCCAAUAUGGUAGUUCUUUCAGAUAGUCGAAUGACUUGGAAAAGUCAGUCAAAGAGGGUAAAAACCCCGUAGACGAAAUGUGGAAGACACCUAGGAGGAUCCUGAGUACGGCGGAACACGAGAAAUUCCGUCGGAAUCCGGGAGGACCAUCUCCCAAGGCUAAAUACUCCCUAGUGACCGAUAGUGAACCAGUACCGUGAGGGAAAGGUGAAAAGCACCCCGGAAGGGGAGUGAAAUAGAACCUGAAACCGUGUGCCUACAACAAGUCAAAGCCCGUUAAUGGGUGAUGGCGUGCCUUUUGUAGAAUGAACCGGCGAGUUACGAUUGCAUGCGAGGUUAAGUUGAAGAGACGGAGCCGCAGCGAAAGCGAGUCUGAAUAGGGCGUUUGAGUAUGUAGUCGUAGACCCGAAACCAUGUGAUCUACCCAUGUCCAGGUUGAAGGUGCGGUAAAACGCACUGGAGGACCGAACCCACGUACGUUGAAAAGUGCGGGGAUGAGGUGUGGGUAGCGGAGAAAUUCCAAACGAACUUGGAGAUAGCUGGUUCUCUCCGAAAUAGCUUUAGGGCUAGCCUCGGAAUUGAGAAUGAUGGAGGUAGAGCACUGUUUGGACUAGGGGCCCAUCUCGGGUUACCGAAUUCAGAUAAACUCCGAAUGCCAUUCAUUCAUAUCCGGGAGUCAGACUGUGAGUGAUAAGAUCCAUAGUCGAAAGGGAAACAGCCCAGACCACCAGCUAAGGUCCCAAAAUAUAUGUUAAGUGGAAAAGGAUGUGGGGUUGCACAGACAACUAGGAUGUUGGCUUAGAAGCAGCCACCAUUUAAAGAGUGCGUAAUAGCUCACUAGUCGAGUGACCCUGCGCCGAAAAUGUACCGGGGCUAAACAUAUUACCGAAGCUGUGGAGUACACCUUUAGGUGUAUUGGUAGGAGAGCGUUCUAAGGGCGUCGAAGGCAGAUCGUGAGGACUGCUGGAGCGCUUAGAAGUGAGAAUGCCGGUAUGAGUAGCGAAAGACAGGUGAGAAUCCUGUCCACCGAAUGACUAAGGUUUCCUGGGGAAGGCUCGUCCGCCCAGGGUUAGUCGGGACCUAAGCCGAGGCCGACAGGCGUAGGCGAUGGAUAACAGGUUGAUAUUCCUGUACCCGUUGUUUUUGUUUGAGCAAUGGAGGGACGCAGGAGGCUAAGGAAUGCAGACGAUCGGAAAUGUCUGUCCAAGCAGUAAGUCUGAAGAGGAGUCAAAUGCUUCUUUUCUUAAGGACAAGCUGUGAUGGGGAGGGAAAUAAUAGUACCGAAGUUCCUGAUGUCACACUGCCGAGAAAAGCUUCUAGUGAGAAAACAGCGGCCCGUACCGCAAACCGACACAGGUAGUCGAGGAGAGAAUCCUAAGGUGAGCGAGAGAACUCUCGUUAAGGAACUCGGCAAAAUGACCCCGUAACUUCGGGAGAAGGGGUGCUGAUCAUACGAUCAGCCGCAGUGAAUAGGCCCAAGCGACUGUUUAUCAAAAACACAGGUCUCUGCAAAAUCGUAAGAUGAAGUAUAGGGGCUGACGCCUGCCCGGUGCUGGAAGGUUAAGAGGAGUGCUUAGCGCAAGCGAAGGUACGAAUUGAAGCCCCAGUAAACGGCGGCCGUAACUAUAACGGUCCUAAGGUAGCGAAAUUCCUUGUCGGGUAAGUUCCGACCCGCACGAAAGGCGUAACGAUUUGG
This 2001-nucleotide ribosomal RNA is filed under the name Paraclostridium sordellii. RNAcentral's name for it is "partial 23S ribosomal RNA". It matches the Rfam family "Bacterial large subunit ribosomal RNA", at positions 1 to 2012 of the family's 2925-position model. Lineage: Bacteria; Bacillati; Bacillota; Clostridia; Peptostreptococcales; Peptostreptococcaceae. The record is from RNAcentral.